UUUAAUCUGAAUGGUUCUUGAGUGAUUUAAAAAUAUAUCUAUCCCCAUAAAUAUCCUUCACGAAGCCCAUAUUUCAGAGAAUUCUUAAUAGAUACUGCAGUCAUUAGAGGGAAUUAGCCAGGUGGUACAGAGGCUCGUAUACAAGGCUCCAUCCACAGCCAGACAAGUCGAAAUAUGCCCUCCAUUUUCAGAAACCUCCUGGAUCUUAAUCUGGUCUCAAUACUCUCCAUUAUUCAUUCUAAACAAUGUUUAAAUAUGGAUGUGAGGUUAAA
This 272-nucleotide long non-coding RNA is filed under the name Bos taurus (domestic cattle). RNAcentral describes it as "long non-coding RNA NONBTAT022696". The record is from RNAcentral. Lineage: Eukaryota; Metazoa; Chordata; Mammalia; Artiodactyla; Bovidae.